CCAACCGCCGUCCGACAUAGAGGACACAUAGUCCUAUGCUGCGUUUUCAUUGGCUGAUUCUACGACAGGGUUUCCGAGGCUUUAAAGGGGAGAAAGGUGAACCAGGCUUGCCAGGCCUGGAUGGUCUGGAUGCCCCCUGUGCUGUGGGAGACGAUGGUUUACCUGUACCAGGAUGUUGGAAUAAAUGA
This 188-nucleotide long non-coding RNA is filed under the name Gouania willdenowi (blunt-snouted clingfish). Its description in RNAcentral is "lncRNA (ENSGWIG00000010618.1)". The record is from RNAcentral. Lineage: Eukaryota; Metazoa; Chordata; Actinopteri; Blenniiformes; Gobiesocidae.